RNAcentral lists this ribosomal RNA (236 nucleotides) under uncultured bacterium. Its description in RNAcentral is "partial 16S ribosomal RNA". It matches the Rfam family "Bacterial small subunit ribosomal RNA", at positions 99 to 334 of the family's 1533-position model. The record is from RNAcentral.
CAAACGGGAGAGUAACACAUUGGUAACCUACCUCGAUCUCGAGCAUAACCCGGAGAAAUCUGGAAUAAUACUCGAUAGUAAUGGGGGGACGCAAGUCAUUCCCAUUUAAAGAUUUACCGGAUCGAGAGGGGCCCAUGACCCAUCAGCUUGUUGGUAAGGUAACUGCUUACCAAGGCUACGACGGGUAGCGGGCGUGAGAGCAUGACUCGUCUCACUGGGACUGAGACACUGCCCAG